UACGUAGGGCGCAAGCGUUGUCCGGAAUCAUUGGGCGUAAAGAGCUCGUAGGCGGCCUGUUGCGUCCGCUGUGAAAUCCCCGGGGGCUUAACCCCGGGCGUGCAGUGGAUACGGGCUGGCUGGAGGCAGGCAGGGGGAGAACGGAAUUCCCGGUGUAGCGGUGAAAUGCGCAGAUAUCGGGAGGAACACCGGUGGCGAAGGCGGUUCUCUGGGCCUGUACUGACGCUGAGGAGCGAAAGCGUGGGGAGCGAACAGG
This 256-nucleotide ribosomal RNA is filed under the name uncultured bacterium. RNAcentral describes it as "partial 16S ribosomal RNA". It matches the Rfam family "Bacterial small subunit ribosomal RNA", at positions 524 to 776 of the family's 1533-position model. The record is from RNAcentral.